CAGUCGCCACGGUAAUACGAAGGGUGCAAGCGUUACUCGGAAUUACUGGGCGUAAAGCGUGUGUAGGUGGUUGUUUAAGUCUGUCGUGAAAGCCCUGGGCUCAACCUGGGAAUUGCGAUGGAUACUGGGCGACUAGAGUGCGGUAGAGGAUAGUGGAAUUUCCGGUGUAGCAGUGAAAUGCGUAGAGAUCGGAAGGAACAUCUGUGGCGAAGGCGACUAUCUGGGCCAACACUGACACUGAGACACGAAAGCGUGGGGAGCAAACAGGAUUAGAUACCCGCGUAGUCCCUGUCUCUUAUAC
Molecule: ribosomal RNA, 301 nt
Filed under: uncultured bacterium
Lineage: Bacteria
Description: partial 16S ribosomal RNA
Rfam family: Bacterial small subunit ribosomal RNA
Source: RNAcentral